RNAcentral lists this ribosomal RNA (454 nucleotides) under uncultured bacterium. RNAcentral describes it as "partial 16S ribosomal RNA". It matches the Rfam family "Bacterial small subunit ribosomal RNA", at positions 28 to 507 of the family's 1533-position model. The record is from RNAcentral.
GAUGAACGCUGACAGAAUGCUUAACACAUGCAGGUCGACUUGAACUUCGGUUUGGGUGGCGGACUGGUGAGUGACGCGUACGGAACUUUCCUCACAGAUAGGGACAACAUUUGGAAACGGAUGCUAAUACCUGAUAUUAUGAUUAUAUGGCAUCGUAUAAUUAUGAAAGCUAUAGGCGCUGUGAGAGAGCUUUGCGUCCCAUUAGCUAGUUGGAGAGGUAACGUAUCACGAAGGCGAUGAUGGGCAGCCGGCCUGGGAGGGUGAUCGGCCACAAGGGGCCUCAGGAGCGACCAUUAGUCAUUCGGGAGGAAGGGGUGGAGAACUGAGGAAGAUAGACCAAGAGUGUGAUGAAGGACUUCUGUGUGUAAAAUGAUGUUUUUCGGAAAGAAAAGUGGUUUCAGUAGGGAAGAAAAAAAUGACGGUACCAAAAGAAGAAGCGACGGCUAACUACGUG